UGCAGUCGAGCGGUAACAGGGGAAGCUUGCUUCCCGCUGACGAGCGGCGGACGGGUGAGUAAUGCUUAGGAAUCUGCCCAGUAGUGGGGGAUAGCCCGGGGAAACCCGGAUUAAUACCGCAUACGUCCUACGGGAGAAAGCAGGGGAUCUUCGGACCUUGCGCUAUUGGAUGAGCCUAAGUCGGAUUAGCUAGUUGGUGGGGUAAAGGCCUACCAAGGCGACGAUCCGUAGCUGGUCUGAGAGGAUGAUCAGCCACAUCGGGACUGAGACACGGCCCGAACUCCUACGGGAGGCAGCAGUGGGGAAUAUUGGACAAUGGGGGCAACCCUGAUCCAGCCAUGCCGCGUGUGUGAAGAAGGCUUUCGGGUUGUAAAGCACUUUCAGUAGGGAGGAAAACCUUAUGGUUAAUACCCAUGAGGCUUGACGUUACCUACAGAAGAAGCACCGGCUAACUCCGUGCCAGCAGCCGCGGUAAUACGGAGGGUGCAAGCGUUAAUCGGAAUUACUGGGCGUAAAGCGCGCGUAGGUGGUUUGGUAAGCGAGAUGUGAAAGCCCCGGGCUUAACCUGGGAACGGCAUUUCGAACUGUCAGACUAUAGUGUGGUAGAGGGUAGUGGAAUUUCCUGUGUAGCGGUGAAAUGCGUAGAUAUAGGAAGGAACACCGGUGGCGAAGGCGGCUACCUGUGACCUGCACUGACACUGAUGUGCGAAAGCGUGGGGAGCAAACAGGAUUAGAUACCCUGGUAGUCCACGCCGUAUACGAUGUCAACUAGCCGUUGGGACUCUUGAAGUCUUAGUGGCGCAGCUA
Molecule: ribosomal RNA, 807 nt
Filed under: Marinobacter nauticus
Lineage: Bacteria; Pseudomonadati; Pseudomonadota; Gammaproteobacteria; Pseudomonadales; Marinobacteraceae
Description: bacterial SSU rRNA
Rfam family: Bacterial small subunit ribosomal RNA
Source: RNAcentral